GGUUCGAUCCUGGCUCAGAUUGAACGCUGGCGGAUGCUUUCACCACAUGUGAUCGAACGGCAGCACGGACUUCAGUCCUGGUGGCGAGUGGCGAACGGGUGAGUAAUGUAUCGGAACGUGCCUGGUAGCGGGGAUAACUACGCGAAAGCGUAGCUAUUACCGCAUACGCCCUUCGGGGAAAGCGGGGGGACCUUCGGGCCUCACUAUUAGAGCGGCCGAUAUCGGAUUGGCUAGUUGGUGGGGUAACGUACAGGCGACGAUCCGUAGCUGGUUUGAGGGAGGACGACCAGCCGCAGGACUGAGACACGGACUCUACGGGAGGCAGCAGUGGGGAAUUUUUUGGACCAAUAAGGAAACCUGAUCCAGCCAUCCCGCGUGUGCGAUGAAGGCCUUCGGGUUGUAAAGCACUUUUGGCGGAAGAAACGGCACGGGAUAAUACCCCGUGCAGCGGCCAAUACCUGCAGAAUAAGCACCGGCUAACUGCGUGCCCCAGCGGCCGCGGUAAUACGUAGGGUGCAAGCGUUAAUCGGAAUUACUGGGCGUAAAGCGUGCGCAGGCGGUUCGGAAAGAAAGAUGUGAAAUCCCGACUUAACUUUGGAACUGCAUUUUUAACUACCGAGCUAGAGUGUGUCAGAGGGAGGUGGAAUUCCGCGUGUAGCAGUGAAAUGCGGCGUGGAGAAUAUGCGGAGGAACACCCGACGAAAGGCAGCCUCCUGGGAUAACGCGGCGCUCAUGCACGAAAGCGUCAGGGCAAACGGGAUUAGAUACCCUGGUAGUCCACGCCCUAAACGAUGUCAACUAGCUGUUGGGGCCUUCGGGCCUUGGUAGCGCAGCUAACGCGUGAAGUUGACCGCCUGGGGAGAGUACGGUCGCAAGAUUAAAAACUCAAAGGAAUUGACGGGGACCCGCACAAGCGGUGGAUGAUGGAUUAAUUCGAUGCAACGCGAAAAACCUUACCUACCCUUGACAUGUCUGGAAUCCCGAAGAGAUUUGGAGUGCUCGCAAGAAUUCCGGAACACAGGUGCUGCAUGGCUGUCGUCAGCUCGUGUCGUGAGAUGUUGGGUUAAGUCCCGCAGCGAGCGCAACCCUUGUCAUUAGUUGCUACGAAAGGGCACUCUAAUGAGACUGCCGGUGACAAACCGAAGGUGGGGAUGACGUCAGUCCUCAUGGCGCCGCGGGUAGGGCUUCACACGUCAUGCAAUGGUCGGGACAGAGGGUCGCCAACCCGCGAAGGCCAAUCCCAGAAACCCGAUCGUAGUCCGGAUCGCAGUCUCCCAGCUCGACUGCGUGAAGUCGGAAUCGCUGGUAAUCGCGGAUCAGCAUGUCGCGGUGAAUACGUUCCCGGGUCUUGUACACACCGCCCGUCACACCAUGGGAGUGGGUUUACCAGAAGUAGUUAGCCUAACCGUAAGGAGGGCGAUUACCACGGUAGGAUUCAUGACUGGGGGUGAAGUCGUAACAAGGUAA
RNAcentral lists this ribosomal RNA (1467 nucleotides) under uncultured Bordetella sp. Its description in RNAcentral is "partial 16S-23S ribosomal RNA intergenic spacer". It matches the Rfam family "Bacterial small subunit ribosomal RNA". The record is from RNAcentral. Lineage: Bacteria; Pseudomonadati; Pseudomonadota; Betaproteobacteria; Burkholderiales; Alcaligenaceae.